CUCGUAGGUGGCCAACUAAGUCAGACGUGAAAUCCCUCAGCUUAACUGGGGAACUGCGUCUGAUACUGGAUGGCUUGAGUUUGGGAGAGGGAUGCGGAAUUCCAGGUGUAGCGGUGAAAUGCGUAGAUAUCUGGAGGAACACCGGUGGCGAAGGCGGCAUCCUGGACCAACACUGACACUGAGGAGAGAAACGCCGAGGGGGAGACGAAACG
This 212-nucleotide ribosomal RNA is filed under the name uncultured bacterium. Its description in RNAcentral is "partial 16S ribosomal RNA". It matches the Rfam family "Bacterial small subunit ribosomal RNA", at positions 568 to 779 of the family's 1533-position model. The record is from RNAcentral.